UUGUGGUAUUUAAUAAUUAACACGUUUAUUACAUAAUCUUUCAAUUUCAUUGUUGAAGUUAUUCUGAAUAAUUAUAAGAGCAUCCGACCGAAGCCUGGAACUCAAGACAAUUUGUUUUGCGCUGCGAGUUUUGGUGGUGGCUAACUUUCAAUAAUUGAUGGCGCCUUCGAAGCUCGCGAUUGUAUCCCUGUUUCUUGCCCUAGUUUUUAUGGUAAUUGGGGCUGAUGUUUCCGUCGAAGGAGAGGUCACCGGAUCCAACGGCGUCGAUUCCUCCGCUCUCAAGAUUGAAUUGGACAAACUCAAGUCUAAGAUCCAUUCCCUUGAAUCUCUUGUUGAUGAGAAAGCCCGAGAAUUGAAAAGCAAGGAUGAGACAUUAUCACUGAAGGAGAAGCUUAUUCAGGAGAAAUCAGAUAACAUUUUGUCCUUACAGAAAGAAUUGGCAUUGCUUCAGAAAAAAGAGACAUUGAAUGCUGCAGAAGAGGUGGGAAAGGCUCGUGCACGGGUUGGUGAACUUGAGAAGCAGGUUGAUAAGCUCAAGAAGGAGUUAGAGAGACAACAUAAGGAGAAAGAAGCCAAGGAAGCCCGGGCGAAGGAGGCUGAGAAGAAGAUAAGCGAAUUGAGAACUAAAUUGGAUGAACUUCAAAAGAUUAAUGAUGAACAGAAGAGCAAAAUUCGUAAAACUGAACGUGCUCUUAAAGUUGCUGAGGAAGAAAUGAUGAAGGCAAAGUCUGAGGUCAAUUCAAAAGCUAAAGAGCUGACUGAGGUUCAUGGUGCAUGGCUUCCACCGUGGCUUGCUGUACAUUUAUUUCAUUGUCAGUCCUUAAUUGCAACUCAUUGGAAUGAGCAUGGAAAACCUGCCAUGGAUAUUGCGAUUCAAAAGGCCCUUGAAAAGAAGUCCCAAGCUGAAAAGUGGGCUGAACCUCGUUUGGAAAUCGUUAAAACUAAAUGGUUGCCGGCUUUAAAGGAACAGUGGCUGGUUUUUACAACAAAUGUCGAACCACAUGUGCAAUCAUUGAAGACAAAAACAAUUGAAGCCUACGAGGCAUCAAAGACUGCGAUAACUCCACAUGUUGUGAGAGUUCAAGAGAUUGUUGACCCUUAUUUUCAGGAAACUAAGAAGUUCAGCAAGCCCUAUAUUGAUCAGGUUGCCACUGUGGCCAAGCCUCAUGUUGAUAGUGUAAGACUAGUACUGAAACCCUACACCAAGAAGAUUGUUCAUGCUUAUGGGAAGUUUCUAAAAUCUGCAACCACAUACCAUCAUCAGGUUCAAGCCUCUGUGCAAGAAACAUUGAAAAAACAUGAACUGACAAGACCUCUUGCAACUAAAGAGUUUGAAUGGUUUGCGGCAUCUGCAUUGUUGGCUCUACCUAUCAUCAUUUUGUUUAGAAUUUUUUCAGCUGUUUUCUGCAAAAAAGCAAGGAGACCAGUUCGACAUGCUAAUCACUCUCGUCGUAAGGGUAAACGCGGGCAUUCAGACAAGUAGAGUGCCACAAGGUUGUCCACUGGUCCAUUCUCUUGUAGGGAAUCACUUGGAUGGGUUUUGGCGCAUUUCAUAUGGGCUUCUGGGGGUUGUGAAGUUUCAUCCUUGUUAACUAGUUCAGAUGUUUUUUUGAAGCUCCAGCAUCUUUCUUAUAUUUCGAUCUUUGUGAAAAGAAGUUUAUAGACUUUCACACUUCACAGUUAGUCAUGCUGAUAAGUCAUAGGAUUCACUGUAUGAUGGGCAGCGUCUGUUAUUUAUGUUGUAAGAGGUGUAACCUAUUUUUUUAUUCUCUGGUUUAGAGUCUAAAUGUCUCUCAAAGCCUCAACUUCUGUUUAUUGGAUUUUUCUGUCCGUCCUAGAUUUACAGAAAGAAUGGAUUUAUGCAGUGAUUUCUCAUAUUUGCGCU
Molecule: RNA transcript, 1885 nt
Organism: Pistacia vera
Lineage: Eukaryota; Viridiplantae; Streptophyta; Magnoliopsida; Sapindales; Anacardiaceae
Exons: 14
Source: RefSeq, a predicted model, not a curated record